AAACCUCUCAUUCCAAUUCUUUAUUUAAUUAUAUUGGGUUGUGAUAUGGAUGUUGAGUGCUGCCGUAAUUUGGCUCACUUUAAAUUUAUAAGUACUUUUAUUGAAGAAAUAAAUGGAUAUUUACUCAGUGUAAUAUUUACUAUUCAUUGAGGAGUGUAGUCAUUUUUCUUGACGACAGCCAUUUGAACAUUUAAUAAAUAGCUUCCUAACCCUAUUAUAUCAAAUU
Molecule: unclassified non-coding RNA, 226 nt
Filed under: Coleosporium tussilaginis
Lineage: Eukaryota; Fungi; Basidiomycota; Pucciniomycetes; Pucciniales; Coleosporiaceae
Description: partial internal transcribed spacer 2
Source: RNAcentral